UACGUAGGGGGCCAGCGUUGCUCGGAAUUACUGGGCGUAAAGGGUUCGUAGGUGGUGCGGCAAGUUGGAAGUGAAAUCUCUGGGCUUAACCCAGAGGCUGCUUUCAAAACUGCCGUGCUCGAGUGCGAGAGAGGUCAGUGGAAUUGCAGGUGUAGCGGUGAAAUGCGUAGAUAUCUGCAGGAACACCCGUGGCGAAGGCGGCUGACUGGAUCGCAACUGACGCUGAGACGCGAAAGCGUGGGGAGCGAACCGG
RNAcentral lists this ribosomal RNA (253 nucleotides) under uncultured bacterium. Its description in RNAcentral is "partial 16S ribosomal RNA". It matches the Rfam family "Bacterial small subunit ribosomal RNA", at positions 524 to 776 of the family's 1533-position model. The record is from RNAcentral.